Molecule: long non-coding RNA, 1166 nt
Filed under: Urocitellus parryii (Arctic ground squirrel)
Lineage: Eukaryota; Metazoa; Chordata; Mammalia; Rodentia; Sciuridae
Description: lncRNA (ENSUPAG00010009326.1)
Source: RNAcentral
GGGCACAAUACUUUUGAUCUCAGUUUCUUUAUCCUUGCGGGGUAAACCCGGGUUUUAUUUGCUUGUCUGUCUGGGGCUGACCUUAAGAAGGGACGUAGCGGGAAUCUUGCCCACGCUAGGUGGCUCGGGACGAGGGCCUGGAGUCGCGCCCCUGCCUACCCACUACUCCGUGUUCCCUGCCCUUGCGGUGGAGCGUUGACUUUCGCGGGGCACAGGGACACCUCUGGGCCGAGCCGGGACCACCCUGUGCGCAGAAUACAGAAGGUCGAUGCGUCGCAGCAGAGUGAAUUGCACAUUACAGGAGACGSGACAGCGGUUCCCAGCUCCUCACCCUCCAGCCUCCGCAAGUCCCCGGGAAGACUGCGGUGACACUUCCGGUGUACUGUCCCGGCCUGGAGGCCCUCCCCGAGCUCUCACUUGGCUCUUCCUGGGUAAUAGCCCUUACUCAGCCGAUCACAGGCCGCGGUGCAGAUUCGUCAUUUACCGGUCUAUGCUUAUUCCGGUUAUUUGGAUACUCGGGAAAUAGCACAGAAUCSAACCCAGUGCCUCACACAUGCCAGGCAAGUGCGCUACUGCUGAGCCACAGCCCYGCCCUUCAAGUGGCUUUAGGUCUGGAAACUGGGUGGCAGGCAUGACUCCAGUCAGGCUUUUGGCCAUCAGUUCGAUGACCACUUCACUGCAGUCCUUUGAUGACACUGGCAUGUUCCAGCUUUGGACGACGUGCUGUGGAUGUGGACUAGCUCUAGCCUGGACAACCCGUGAACCACUCCAUUCUCCACCCCUUCUUGGACAUGUUUGACCCUGAGCCUUGGAACAGAAGGGGGCUCCCUUUCCAAGGCCGUCCUUCCUUGAGAGAUCCCCCUCCAUCUGUGGCACCCUUUAGAGUUCUCUUUACUUCUUCAUAGUUGCCUCCCAUCAGCUUAACAAAUCUUUAUGUUAUACCUCCCUCAUUGUGUGGUUUGUCUCCUGAAUGGACCUAGACUGAUAUGAGAUUAAACAUUAAAUUCAGAAUUUUUGAUAAGUUCAUCUGUAUUCAUAAACCAAGCCUUAUACACAGUUCUGUUGUGGUCAACACGUACCACUGUGGAAACAUUCGAAUCUCGCUCAACAUUACAGAAUUCAUACUGGAGAAAAACUCUGUGAAUGUAAAAUAUGAAAAGGCCUCA